Long non-coding RNA from Telopea speciosissima, 151 nucleotides. RefSeq lists it as uncharacterized. Lineage: Eukaryota; Viridiplantae; Streptophyta; Magnoliopsida; Proteales; Proteaceae. The transcript has 3 exons. The record is from RefSeq and is a predicted model, not a curated record.
GCUUCUGCAGGAGCAACAAGGGCACAAAGGACUAAAUAUCCUUUCAUGUUUCAAUAUUUCAUCAGCAAGAGGAUUUGCCCUGAGAGAAUUGAUUGGUAACCUACAGAUCUAUUUGGUUAGAAGUGAUUCAAGGGAAGUGAGUGAAAAAGUC